AGAUUGAACGCUGGCGGCAGGCCUAACACAUGCAAGUCGAGCGGGCAGCACGGGUACUUGUACCUGGUGGCGAGCGGCGGACGGGUGAGUAAUGCCUAGGAAUCUGCCUGGUAGUGGGGGAUAACGCUCGGAAACGGACGCUAAUACCGCAUACGUCCUACGGGAGAAAGCAGGGGACCUUCGGGCCUUGCGCUAUCAGAUGAGCCUAGGUCGGAUUAGCUAGUUGGUGGGGUAAUGGCUCACCAAGGCGACGAUCCGUAACUGGUCUGAGAGGAUGAUCAGUCACACUGGAACUGAGACACGGUCCAGACUCCUAGGGAGGCAGCAGUGGGAAUAUGGACAAGUGGGACGAAAGCCUGAUCCAGCCAUGCGCGUGUGUGAAGGUAAGGUCUUACGGAUUUAGGAAAAGUCCUAAGUUUUUAAGGUUGGGAAGGAAGGGCAAGUUUACCUAAAUUACGGUAUUCGUUAGUUUUGAACCGUUUACCGA
RNAcentral lists this ribosomal RNA (487 nucleotides) under uncultured soil bacterium. RNAcentral's name for it is "bacterial SSU rRNA". It matches the Rfam family "Bacterial small subunit ribosomal RNA", at positions 26 to 503 of the family's 1533-position model. The record is from RNAcentral.